RNAcentral lists this transfer RNA (66 nucleotides) under Isthmura sierraoccidentalis (Sonoran false brook salamander). Its description in RNAcentral is "tRNA-Val". Lineage: Eukaryota; Metazoa; Chordata; Amphibia; Caudata; Plethodontidae. The record is from RNAcentral.
CAGGAUAUAGCUUAAAUUAAAGCAUUUUGCUUACACCAAAAAAAUACCCACGCCCGGGUUAUCCUG